GCUACGGGAGGCUGCAGUGGGGGAUAUUGCACAAUGGGGGGAACCCUGAUGCAGCGACGCCGCGUGGGUGAAGAAGAGCCUCGGCGCGUAAAGCCCUGUCAGCAGGGAAGAAAAUGACGGUACCUGAAGAAGAAGCCACGGCCAACGACGGUCCAGCAGCGGCGGGAAUACGUAGGGGGCAAGCGUGAUCCGGAUUUACUGGGUGUCAAGGGGGAGCAGACGGCGGUGCAAGCCAGGCGUGAAAGCCCGGGCCCCAACCCCGGGACUGCUCUUGGAACUGCGUGGCUGGAGUGCAGUCGGGGCAGGCGGAAUUCCUUGUGUAGCCGUGAAAUGCGUCGAUAUCAGG
This 346-nucleotide ribosomal RNA is filed under the name uncultured bacterium. Its description in RNAcentral is "partial 16S ribosomal RNA". It matches the Rfam family "Bacterial small subunit ribosomal RNA", at positions 338 to 701 of the family's 1533-position model. The record is from RNAcentral.